RNAcentral lists this non-coding RNA (24 nucleotides) under Arabidopsis thaliana (thale cress). The record is from RNAcentral. Lineage: Eukaryota; Viridiplantae; Streptophyta; Magnoliopsida; Brassicales; Brassicaceae.
AUAGCUUUUUUUGGUUAAUGAUGA